GGGAGGCUGGGAGGAGACACAGCCAGAGCAGGUGCCAAAGGGAUAUCCCCGACCAUGUGACACAUGCUCUGUGGUGGUAAGAAGGAGGAAGGAUGGAUGUUCAGGGUUACAGUGUUCAUCCUCCCAAGUCCCUGUUACACCUGGUGGGGCCCUGCUCUCCCGGGGAUGGCCGAACACCUGUCUGUCCAUGGGAAGCAGGGAAUUCAUUCCUUGCUUUGCUUUGCACAGCUUUUGCUUUCCCUAUUAAACUAUAUCAGCAUAUGUUGUAUAUAUUCUAAUUGUGUGUAUUUUACUAAACUGUUGGGUUUCUUAAUACCCAGCUAUUCCUCUUAUUGUUUUUUUCUGAGUCACAGACAAGGACAGUAUGGCAUGGACAGUACUUUCUGAUAAAUGAAUUGACUUUGCAGUAUGUAUUUCCUUCUGCGGUCUUCCAUGAUAUAACUACAGUUUUAAUGCUUCUUUCCUCUCUCCCUCAGUUGUUUUUUAUGAGAAAAAAAAUUAAAGACAAAGCAAUGUUUGUUGCAAAGUUGGAGUUCUGUGACAGUUGUGUCUUAUAAAUUCUAGAAAUUAAAGUUUUGCGUUAGAAAAAUAAAAAUAUAUUCAUCCCAUAGCAAAUUGGUAUUACAGUAAAUGUAAGGCAAUUCUUGUAAUGAUUAAUACUCAUAGUGAUUUAGAGAUGUUCAUUGUGCCAGGAAGAUGACAAAAACUUUAAAGCAAAAUUUGAAGUGGGAUCCAAACUAUAUUUUAUCUUUGCAGUGAAUGUGUUUUAUGCAUGGAACAGUAAUUAUUUUUUAAUAGUGGCAUACAUGAUUAGAUCAGCUGCAGAGGAGAUGCUAUGGCAACAGUCGUGGUGACAAAGAACAGCCGUGCAGUUGUGUCACUGCUCACUUCACAGGACAUGAUAUCAACAGGCACUAUGUUUCAAAGGCUAGACUUCAGCCCUGUGUGUUGGAAUCCUUUUGUAAUUUAAAAAAUAUUUACUGAGCAUUUUUUUCCCUGAUCACACACUGCUGAGAGAGAUUUUAGUGCAGUGGACUCCAAAACUUGAAUCUCUGUCCUUUGCCUGACUGCCACUGAAAGUCGUGGCAGACAUUUCAAAUCUAGGGGAAAUAAGAGCCCUGCCUUUGUAUCAAGUGUUUUCAGAGAGGAUUAAAAAGUACAAAUUUCUAAUAGAGAAUAUUCCUAUUGAAACACACAAACCCUAAAUUCCACUCUAAGAAAUCUGGAAUAGAUUGGUUUAAUGUUACCUCCAGACAGGUGGGUGAGGUGAGGAAUUUCUCUUGCCUCUUUCCUUUUGUUUAAAUGUUUUUGAAUGUGAGAAUAUUUAAUCAUUUUCAUUAGCUAAAUCUUGGAAAUUAGAAAAACACCAAUCUCUUUAAAAAUUAAGUAUUCUUGAAUUGACUUCACUACUUUCUAUGCCUACUGAAUCACAUUUGUUUAGAAGAAUAUUAUGUAUAAAAUUACUUUAAAAUUUUAUAAGCCUGUCUUACUUUUGAAGGCCUAAUGCGUGCUAGAGAUGCAUUGAUAUCACAAAAUUAUUUUUCAAGGCUAGCUGAAAAUGUGAUUUCUGACAAAAAAAAAAAAUCAUCUUGACUCUUUUGCACCCUUUCCCUUUCUCCAAAGCAUUUUAGAUCAGUAUGUUCUAAACUUUUGAAAAUUUCGAACAUUUCUGGCAUUUACAGUUCUGCCAAAGGGUCUGAAUGUGAACGCUUGUUUUUAUCGGCCCCAGUGGACCCAACUGUAAUCUUUGUAAGGUGAUAGCGUGUGUUCCUUUGCAUGUUUUAAUGCAGCUGUGGUGAUGUAGGAUUUAUAUUACUAAUAAAGGUCCCACAAAUGUUCAUUCAAAGCAUCUGUAUGAUUCUAUACAGUGCCUAGCAAAGAGGGUCAUUGAUAUGACAUAGAUGAUGCUUUAUAUGCAAUUAUUGUUUCAGGACAGUUGGUUUGCUGUAUGCACGUAAGACAUUUUAACCAUUAAAGUCUGUUUCAGGUCCUUAAGCUGACCAAGUUAAAUAGAAAUGUCCCUCCCCCUGGUACCUUACUCAUUGGCCAAUGCAAAAAGCUUGUAUUUAUAUUGCAGUCUUUUGCUUGCCAGACUAAAGAGGCACAUGGCUUGCAAUAAUUGACCUGGGCACAUCCACACAGUGAUCUGCACAGAAGCAUGAGCUUCACAAGCCUGGUCAUGAGAGAAAAGUGCCACCCUUGUCAUCCUACCUGCUGUGGGAGCACAGGGCAGGUACCAGGCUGAGGGGCCCUCCCGGGAGGCAAAGCUUGUGAGCUCAGGCUCUAACACCAAUGCGGCCAAAUGCUGAGGGAGAAGAAAAAGUCUGAUUGUAAGAACUGGGCAGAGGGGAAGCUUCUAUCAAUCUGUAAAUCCCUACUCACAGCAGUAGAGACAGGAGCUGGAAAAGUUCUCCUUACUACUUUCACUGUAUUUAAAGAUCAGGAAAACAGUGUAUAACUGAAUACUGUAAUUCUAAGUAGAAUAUCCUGAUCAUGGCUCUAAAGCAUCUGACAUAGAUGGAUUUAGUACUAAACUUUUAAUUUGUUUUGAAGUUAAGCAAAACCAUCAAUGCUUUUUUGUAAAGUUCUUAUUUAUAUAUAUCCAUUACUGUGUGCAUGGCUCUAGUUUAUUUUGAGCAAUUCUUAAAUUAGGGCUUAAUCAUUUAGGGGAAGAUGACAUGGGUUUAACAUUGUGACAUCUUUCAUCGUUAUUGCCUCUUUCUUAAAUAAUAUAAUUUGUGACAAAUGUGAACAUUAAUUACAUUUAACAUAGAAAUAUAACUUGAAGUGAUUGUAUUUUAAAAAACAUCCAAUCAGUGAGAUUAUAUCUUACACCAAGCUUUAGCUCAAAGUUCAAAAGUCAGAAAUCAAAUACCAUCAGUUAUCAAAUUAUGUUAAUGGUUCUAAUGAAAGCUUCUGGUAUUUUGCUCAACACUGUGUUGCUGUUAUGGUAACUAAUAGGACAAGAAAGGCUGAUGGCCAUGAAAAAAUUAGAACUGACUGCUAGAGGGUUUUUUUUUGGUUUUGUUUUUUUUUUCCCCUGUUUUUUUUUUUUUUUUUUUUUAAACAUAUUUGACAGUCUGUUUAGUCACCCAGAGUUACUGUGUGGUACACUCAGCUUUUUCAUCUGGCAUAAGAAGGGCACAAACUGUAUUUUAUAACCAUUUUAGACCACUUUAAUUCCCCCACUUUAAGAAACACUUUCACAUUAUAAGUUUUUGCAGGCCAGCAAAGAAAAUUAAAGACUGAUAUUUUGUCAUAAAUCUUUACAAGAAACUCUGCACUUACUACAUACAUUAUUCUGAAAUAUCUGCAUAUAUUUUGCAGAGUUGAAAAAGGAAUAAUUGAUGACAAUUUCUGUUGUAUCAAUUAGAUAUAAAUGUUUAGAACUUGAUGCUGUUGAGGGGCAGAUUUAUUUUGCUGUGUAUUGACUUGAAGGGUUGAAUGCUGCAAAUGAGAAAUUCUAAUAAUUUCUCACCUUGUGUAGUAAUACAGCUUAGCAUUAGCUGAAGCUUUGCAAAGUUUCCUAAGAAAUCUGAAGGAUUUAGUUUUAUUAAAAUAGGACUCUCUCUUUAUUUUCCCUCUUGCUCUUGAUAGCUCUGGAGGAUCAAUUCCUAAUUUUCUUGACUAAAAUUAUUUCAUAAUGUUUUGUGAAGUAAAUUAUAGCACUUUGUUAGAAAACCCUAAAUGUCUUGAGAAACUUGCACAUUUUAUUUACAUACUUAAAUUACUGAUGGGACUUGGAGCAUUGAUAGUGUAUGCUAGUUGUUAUCAAGUACUACAUUAAAGAUGUACCUCUUUGUUCAGAUUCUUUACCUAUUAAAACCCCCAAAUCUGAAGUAAUCCAAAAUAAUGCAAGUAGAGAAUAUUCAAAGGCUAUAAAUAACAAUUAUUAUGAUUGACGAACACCCAAUGUUGAGGGAAGCAAUUAUUUGUCUCUGUCCAGAUUUGAAGACACUUCCUUGUAAGCAUCCCAAAAGCAUUUCCAUGGCUGGGAUGUGUGUGUGUGUAUAUAUAUAUAUUAAAGUCAUGUUGUGUGGUGGGAAUGCUGUGGAACUGGGGCUGAGCUGGGGGAGUACAUAGAUUGUAGGUAAGGUAAAUCAGCUCCUGAGGAUUAAGGAACUUCCAUGUAGCUAUUACAUUAUUUUCAAAGUCUUAGUCAUGCUCAGUCCCCACGUUUUGAUUUUUAUUUCCUUUUAUGUAUAGAACUAUCUCAGUGUGUUCUGCUAUAUCUGUGGGCAACAGUGAUGGACUUGAAAUUACUGAGUACAGAGAGCAACCUUUUGCUCACUCACUUUGUACUUAGGUAUUGUGAAAUACCAUUAUGCUAAUUUGACACCUUCCUCCCCAGGAUGUUUUAACAUAGAAGAGAUGCAAUAAAUAUUUUAAAAUAUUUUUAAGGAAGAAUGCACUGGACAAAGGGAGAGAACACUACAGUGGGUUUAUUUUCUCUUUGUCAUACUAGGAGUAAGUCUUGGACUUCUAUUUUUUCCCUCCAUAGACAGAGAAAGGUGCUUCUAAGUUUUGAAGCAGAGGAUUACUUUUUUAAUAAUUUUGAACCUGGAAGCUAAAGCAGGCAGGAUUCCUGAAUAUGUGAUCACUAUGAAAAAUCUGUGUACAACAGCUUUUGAGUAUGUUCAGUGCAGAGGUUUCAGAUGUACAUUUUGAGUUUUCUCUGAUGAUAACCUGACUGUAAAUUUACUUGUUGUAGUCCAGAGUGAUAUCCUUGUAAUUGUUAAUUAGUGCAUUGUAAAAGCUGCAGGAUGUUAAUAAGAGCCUUAAAGCUUACAAAUAGCAUUCACUAUAUUUAAAGGGAAGGCAACAAAUUUUAUCUGAAAGAGAAGACAGAGCACCUUUUAAUUUCAUAGUGAUAAAAAUAAUGCUGCACAUAUUAAUGUUAGAGCAUGUUACUGUCAGUAGACCCGUGGCAACCUCAGGCUGACUUUCUGAAAUGUAGUAUCAAAACAAACGUCACAUUUCUCAUGCAAGUUCUUACAUUUUAAUGCCGAGUGUGCAAUAUUCUGUAUUUUACUAUGGACACAGCACAUUCAAAGCUGUAUUCUUAAAGCUUUAACUAUACUAGCCCAUUUGGGUUUUGUCUGUUAAAGUCCAUUGCAAAACUGCAGUCAAAAACUAUAAGAAUCUUGAACUACAUUUAAUACUUUUUGUUUCUUGUGCAUUUAAUAAAUGUAGGGAGUCGUGCACACAUCUGGAUACAAACAUAUACCAAAUUUAUUUCAUCCACUAUUUACUCAAACAGAAACUGAUAAAUAAUACUUUCACAUUUUUGUUGUGUUUUAUUUCUGCCACACCAGGGGCUCAAAAAAUGAAUGUGUCAGUAAAGGAUUUGACAGUGUGUUACGACAGUCAUCAAUCCAGCAAGCCCUGUAGCCAUAAAUAAGCUUCAUACAGUGCCACACUAAAGAGGACAGUUUUUCUUCUGCAGGACAUUGAAAAUGUCAGGGCAAGGGAAUUGUUUGUCCCUGUCUCCACGACAACGCCACCAGCACUUAUCAUUAAGUUUCACACCAAGAUUUUAAUCAGUGGUCUUUGUGGCAUAAGACUGAGUCAACAUCAGCCCAAAUUUUCGAAGCCGUUAUUCUAAUUAUGACGAGGAGCUAUAGAUUGAUGAGC
Molecule: long non-coding RNA, 5634 nt
Organism: Taeniopygia guttata (zebra finch)
Lineage: Eukaryota; Metazoa; Chordata; Aves; Passeriformes; Estrildidae
Source: Ensembl